Molecule: non-coding RNA, 30 nt
Filed under: Cricetulus griseus (Chinese hamster)
Lineage: Eukaryota; Metazoa; Chordata; Mammalia; Rodentia; Cricetidae
Source: RNAcentral
CAUUUUGAAGAACUAGUCGAGAUUAACCAG